This 261-nucleotide ribosomal RNA is filed under the name uncultured bacterium. RNAcentral describes it as "partial 16S ribosomal RNA". It matches the Rfam family "Bacterial small subunit ribosomal RNA", at positions 524 to 784 of the family's 1533-position model. The record is from RNAcentral.
GACAGAGGUGGCGAGCGUUGUUCGGAUUUAUUGGGCGUAAAGCGAACGCAGGUGGUUUGGUAAGUCAGAGGUGAAAGACCACAGCUUAACUGUGGCACUGCCUUUGAUACUGCCUUUCUAGAGUGCAUGAGGGGGAAGCGGAAUUCCGAGUGUAGAGGUGAAAUUCGUAGAUAUUCGGAAGAACACCAGUGGCGAAGGCGACUACCUGGCCGUCGAUUGACGCUCAUGUGCGAAAGCGUGGGGAGCAAACAGGAUUAGAAA